GACGGAGCACAAGCCCGGCUGCUCCCAAACCGCCAGGCCGCAGGGGGUAAGGCCGUGGCUAAGCUGGGGGCGGAGGGGCUGCAGGCAUCUGCUAAAGGGUGUGGGGCCGAGGGGACGAGACACGGGACAAGCACCAAACAAAGGGGGUGAGGGAUAAGGGCAGACUCAGGAUAGAGGGUGCUAGGAACAGGGUAAAGGGGAACUAGAAACAAGGCAGGCAUGGAAUAGCCCCCAGUACCCUAAAAGCCUCGCUAGAAACUCUGUGGUGAUCACAUUUCCCUGGACAGACACGAAGGUAACCUUACAAAGGAGGGUCUCAGCUCGGGAGGUCACUUGCGUUGCCUUCCUCAAAGGCUAGCUCUUGAGCCAGCUAUGGCUGCGUGUGAACCACAGGAUGAUGUGAUUUCACAACAACAAACCCUCAAAUAUUUAAAAGGCUGUUUAAUUUAUCCCAGCACAAUCUUUUAAGAAUAGACAUUUGUCUUGCAAUUUGAGUCCUGCAUUCUUAACACUUUUUGCUUUGAGACAGUUGGUCUCUGCCACUGUUUUAGUGAAGCUGCUUCUUCCAGAUUGCACUGCCAGAGGCACUGCACCUCGCAAUCGCUCGAAGUUACAUCAUCCACAAAGAGCCAGAUACCACUUCUGGCUCCUGAACUGAAUACAACAGUUGGACAUUGAGGACAGCCAUAGCAACUCUGCAGGAGACUGAAAGUCCCCGCUGGACUCCAUCAGGCUUGAUGGCAAUGAAAGUUUGCUCGGAAAUGGAUGCCAUUGUCCUACAAGAGGAGAAAAAGGGACUCUGUAUUCCAGGACCAGAAGGCAAAUGCAGCCACAACAUAAAUCUAGAAGGCAUACCCACAAUUUUCCACAACCUUAUUGUGCUUAUGUGUACUGAUCUAAUAAGUCAAAGAAUAUCCAAAAGGUGCUACAAAAAUAAAUGUAAUGUAACAGACCUAUAAAUAUUGAAGAGAGCAAUUAGUCCAUACCAAGAAUGAAGAGAUUUUA
Molecule: long non-coding RNA, 1005 nt
Organism: Mauremys reevesii (Reeves's turtle)
Lineage: Eukaryota; Metazoa; Chordata; Testudines; Geoemydidae
Exons: 3
Source: RefSeq, a predicted model, not a curated record